RNAcentral lists this ribosomal RNA (494 nucleotides) under uncultured bacterium. Its description in RNAcentral is "partial 16S ribosomal RNA". It matches the Rfam family "Bacterial small subunit ribosomal RNA", at positions 28 to 507 of the family's 1533-position model. The record is from RNAcentral.
GACGAACGCUGGCGGCGCGCUUAACACAUGCAAGUCGAACGGAAAGGCCUGCUUUCCCUUGUGGAUUGCGGGUACUCGAGUGGCGAACGGGUGAGUAACACGUGAGUAAUCUGCCCCCAACUUGGGUAUAAGCCUGGGAAACUGGGUCUAAUUCCCGAUAGGACUGCAGGGUGGUGCCUGUGGUGGAAAACGAUUUUCUAGUGGUUGGGGAUGAGCUCGCGGCCUAUCAGCUUGUUGGUGGGGUAAUGGCCUACCAAGGCGGCGACGGGUAGCCGGCCUGAGAGGGUGGACGGCCACAUUGGGACUGAGAUACGGCCCAGACUCCUACGGGAGGCAGCAGUGGGGAAUAUUGCACAAUGGGCGGAAGCCUGAUGCAGCGACGCCGCGUGGGGGAUGACGGCCUUCGGGUUGUAAACUCCUUUCGACCGCGAGGAAGCCACCUGGUUGGAAGGGUGGUGACGGUAGUGGUAGAAGAAGCACCGGCUAACUACGUG